GGAGAUGUAGCUCAAUGGUAGAGCAUUUGUCUAGCAUGCAGGAGGCCCUGGGUUCCACCCCAGUACCACAA
This 71-nucleotide transfer RNA is filed under the name Ictidomys tridecemlineatus (thirteen-lined ground squirrel). RNAcentral describes it as "Spermophilus tridecemlineatus (thirteen-lined ground squirrel) tRNA". It matches the Rfam family "tRNA". From Rfam's summary of the family: Transfer RNA (tRNA) molecules are approximately 80 nucleotides in length. Their secondary structure includes four short double-helical elements and three loops (D, anti-codon, and T loops). RNAcentral also lists the same sequence under 1 other name. The record is from Rfam by way of RNAcentral. Lineage: Eukaryota; Metazoa; Chordata; Mammalia; Rodentia; Sciuridae.